Molecule: long non-coding RNA, 457 nt
Filed under: Vombatus ursinus (common wombat)
Lineage: Eukaryota; Metazoa; Chordata; Mammalia; Diprotodontia; Vombatidae
Description: lncRNA (ENSVURG00010015779.1)
Source: RNAcentral
GUCUGAGGAGUGUGAGGAGCGUCCCUGGCGUGUCUCUGGCGGCGCUCGCUCGCAGCGGGGCGGGAGGAGGUUCCAGCGGGACCGGCGUCCGGAGAGGGCUUUCCGCGUCUCCUCAGCCACUCCGCGGGGGACAGGAACUGCUACUAAAAUUAGGGCCCAUCAAAUGGCAGUAGAUAUCUUGAUUCAUGUGAUGUUACACUGUAGUAGACCACAGUGAUCUGGCAUGCUGGCCUGCAGUGUAAUAUCACUGAUUCAGCUUGUGGAUAACAGUGUUAUCCACAACAACACCCCUUCAGAACCUGGGGUACUUUAUUUUUAAUAACUUCAUUGAUGGCAGAUCUUCAGCCUUUUGACAACAGUCAGAAAUCUUUCAGAGCCAGGUUUGGUGAUUAAGGUGAGUGAUCACUUUCUUUUGUUUAAUUAGAGAGACUGCAUGAUUUUAUUCCUAUUCAGUUUU